Molecule: unclassified non-coding RNA, 240 nt
Filed under: soil metagenome
Description: partial contains 5.8S ribosomal RNA, internal transcribed spacer 2, and large subunit ribosomal RNA
Source: RNAcentral
AACGGUCUAUACCUGCGGUACCUGCGGAAGGAUCAUUACCGAGUUUACAACUCCCAAACCCAAUGUGAACGUUACCAAACUGUUGCCUCGGCGGGAUCUUCUGCCCCGGGUGCGUCGCAGCCCCGGACCAAGGCGCCCGCCGGAGGACCAACCAAAAACUCUUUUUGUAUACCCCCUCGCGGGUUUUUUAUAUCUGAGCCUUUCUCGGCGCCCCUUCGUGGGCGUUUCGAAAAUGAAUCA